This 497-nucleotide ribosomal RNA is filed under the name uncultured bacterium. Its description in RNAcentral is "partial 16S ribosomal RNA". It matches the Rfam family "Bacterial small subunit ribosomal RNA", at positions 28 to 507 of the family's 1533-position model. The record is from RNAcentral.
GAUGAACGCUGGCGGCGUGCCUAAUACAUGCAAGUCGAGCGAACGGACGAGAAGCUUGCUUCUCUGAUGUUAGCGGCGGACGGGUGAGUAACACGUGGAUAACCUACCUAUAAGACUGGGAUAACUUCGGGAAACCGUAGCUAAUACCGGAUAAUAUUUUGAACCGCAUGGUUCAAAAGUGAAAGACGGUCUUGCUGUCACUUAUAGAUGGAUCCGCGCUGCAUUAGCUAGUUGGUAAGGUAACGGCUUACCAAGGCAACGAUGCAUAGCCGACCUGAGAGGGUGAUCGGCCACACUGGAACUGAGACACGGUCCAGACUCCUACGGGAGGCAGCAGUAGGGAAUCUUCCGCAAUGGGCGAAAGCCUGACGGAGCAACGCCGCGUGAGUGAUGAAGGUCUUCGGAUCGUAAGACUCUGUUAUUAGGGAAGAACAUAUGUGUAAGUAACUGUGCACAUCUUGACGGUACCUAAUCAGAAAGCCACGGCUAACUACGUG